UUGAAGACCUUGGUUAUUUUAAGUAAGGAUGUGAUCAUCUUUUUAUUCCAUGCCAUUUAAAGAUAAAAACAAAUAUACAAAAAUUAAGAGAAAAUAUGGAGAGAAUAUGAAACUUACCUUUUCUUUUUAUUAAGCCAUUAUGAGAGAAUAAGGAUAAAGGGGAAAGGAAAGAGGAGAAGAGCCAUUUGCUCUUGUGGCUGCCGAAAUUAGAGAGAGAAAGAGAGAGUGGGAUGUGAGUUAGAGAGAGAAGGAGAAGAAGGAAGAAAGGAAGAAGAAGGAGAAGGGAAUACCAAGUCUAGGGCUUGAACAAGGGGUGGUAAAGUUUGGGUGUUGAUCAAUUUGUGUUCUUGAUUUUACAAUCAAGAGAGGCUCGUUGAGAAGUUGUGGUUUUACUUAGCUUGGACCUGAGGUAGCAAAUUGGUUUUCUCUGUGGCACGCGUGGUGAUGUGGGGAGUUCUAUCAUCCUGGUGUGUAUGGCAUGGGGGCAUCCUAUGGACAAAAAACGAUCAAUUAAAAACGCCAUUUUUUAUAAUGUUAUGUUUUAUGAGACUUUUUUUUUUAAACUUACCAGUGGGACUUGAAUUAUUGGUUGUUUUAGAACUUUGUAUAAAAAAUGAUAUUUUCUUUUAAAACUAUUGGGCCCAACUUGCAUGUUUUUAAG
Molecule: long non-coding RNA, 661 nt
Organism: Humulus lupulus (European hop)
Lineage: Eukaryota; Viridiplantae; Streptophyta; Magnoliopsida; Rosales; Cannabaceae
Exons: 4
Source: RefSeq, a predicted model, not a curated record